AUGGAGAGAUGCUUUCUACUGAUUCUAAUAUUCACACCAGGCAUUUUAUCUGACAGCAUUCAACCAAAAGACAAAGAAACUACUAUUUACAGAACAGAAGAAGAGCGUGUAACGCUGAGCUGUUCAUAUGAUACCAGCAGCAGUUAUGUCUAUCUCUACUGGUACAGACAGUAUCCUAACAGAGAACCAGAAUAUUUACUGUAUAAAGGUGCCCGAUCACGGAUCGGUUAUGGGGAUAUACCAGAUCGGUUUCAGUCGACUGCAUCUGAAUCAUCCACUGAACUCACUAUUAAGAGUGUAACUCUGUCAGAUUCAGCUCUCUAUUAUUGUGCUCUAAGAUGGUAUCGCCAAUAUCCUGGGCAAGCUCCUCAAUAUCUUUUAGUCAUUCUAUAUUCUACUGGGAAAGUUUCACAAAGGUCAGAAAUUGUGGAUCAAGAUCCUAGAUUCUCUGGCAAACUGAAUGACAAGAAAACCCAUGUGGAUCUGAUCAUCUCCUCUGCUGCUGUAUCAGACUCUGCUCUGUACUACUGUGCCCUGCAGCCCACAGUCACAGGAAACACAACAUUGUACACAAACUAA
This is a non-coding RNA of Sinocyclocheilus anshuiensis, 579 nucleotides long. NCBI's taxonomy places the organism in Eukaryota, Metazoa, Chordata, Actinopteri, Cypriniformes, Cyprinidae. The record is from the annotation of a RefSeq genome assembly.